RNAcentral lists this ribosomal RNA (458 nucleotides) under uncultured bacterium. Its description in RNAcentral is "bacterial SSU rRNA". It matches the Rfam family "Bacterial small subunit ribosomal RNA", at positions 340 to 790 of the family's 1533-position model. The record is from RNAcentral.
UACGGAAGGCAGCAGUGGGGAAUAUUGCACAAUGGGCGCAAGCCUGAUGCAGCCAUGCCGCGUGUAUGAAGAAGGCCUUCGGGUUGUAAAGUACUUUCAGUCGUGAGGAAGGUGUUAAGGUUAAUAACCUUAGCAAUUGACGUUAGCGACAGAAGAAGCACCGGCUAACUCCGUGCCAGCAGCCGCGGUAAUACGGAGGGUGCGAGCGUUAAUCGGAAUUACUGGGCGUAAAGGGCACGCAGGCGGUUAAUUAAGUUGGAUGUGAAAUCCCCGGGCUUAACCUGGGAAUGGCAUUCAAGACUGGUUAGCUAGAGUCUUGUAGAGGGGGUAGAAUUCCAUGUGUAGCGGUGAAAUGCGUAGAGAUGUGGAGGAAUACCGGUGGCGAAGGCGGCCCCUGGGACAAAGGCUGACGCUCAUGUGCGAAAGCGUGGGGAGCGAAACAGGAUUAGAUACCCGGU